RNAcentral lists this ribosomal RNA (681 nucleotides) under Staphylococcus aureus. Its description in RNAcentral is "partial 23S ribosomal RNA". It matches the Rfam family "Bacterial large subunit ribosomal RNA", at positions 388 to 1071 of the family's 2925-position model. Lineage: Bacteria; Bacillati; Bacillota; Bacilli; Caryophanales; Staphylococcaceae. The record is from RNAcentral.
UUGUCUCUCUUGAGUGGAUCCUGAGUACGACGGAGCACGUGAAAUUCCGUCGGAAUCUGGGAGGACCAUCUCCUAAGGCUAAAUACUCUCUAGUGACCGAUAGUGAACCAGUACCGUGAGGGAAAGGUGAAAAGCACCCCGGAAGGGGAGUGAAAUAGAACCUGAAACCGUGUGCUUACAAGUAGUCAGAGCCCGUUAAUGGGUGAUGGCGUGCCUUUUGUAGAAUGAACCGGCGAGUUACGAUUUGAUGCAAGGUUAAGCAGUAAAUGUGGAGCCGUAGCGAAAGCGAGUCUGAAUAGGGCGUUUAGUAUUUGGUCGUAGACCCGAAACCAGGUGAUCUACCCUUGGUCAGGUUGAAGUUCAGGUAACACUGAAUGGAGGACCGAACCGACUUACGUUGAAAAGUGAGCGGAUGAACUGAGGGUAGCGGAGAAAUUCCAAUCGAACCUGGAGAUAGCUGGUUCUCUCCGAAAUAGCUUUAGGGCUAGCCUCAAGUGAUGAUUAUUGGAGGUAGAGCACUGUUUGGACGAGGGGCCCCUCUCGGGUUACCGAAUUCAGACAAACUCCGAAUGCCAAUUAAUUUAACUUGGGAGUCAGAACAUGGGUGAUAAGGUCCGUGUUCGAAAGGGAAACAGCCCAGACCACCAGCUAAGGUCCCAAAAUAUAUGUUAAGUGGAAAAG